CCCUUAGAUGUUCUGGGCUGCACGCGCGCUACACUGAUGCGUUCAACGAGUGUAUCACCUUUUCCGAUAGGAAUGGGUAAUCUUCUGAACACGCAUCGUGAUGGGGAUAGAUUAUUGUAAUUAUUAAUCUUCAACGAGGAAUGCCUAGUAAGCGCAAGUCAUCAGCUUGCGUUGAUUACGUCCCUGCCCUUUGUACACACCGCCCGUCGCUCCUACCGAUUGAAUGGUCCGGUGAAGCGUUCGGACCGUGGCCUUUGGACGGUUCGCCGUCUGUUGGCUGCGGGAAGUUCGUUAAACCUUAUCAUUUAGAGGAAGGAGAAGUCGUAACA
RNAcentral lists this ribosomal RNA (329 nucleotides) under uncultured eukaryote. RNAcentral's name for it is "partial 18S ribosomal RNA". It matches the Rfam family "Eukaryotic small subunit ribosomal RNA", at positions 1470 to 1796 of the family's 1831-position model. The record is from RNAcentral.